This 63-nucleotide transfer RNA is filed under the name Coleoptera sp. ACP-2013. Its description in RNAcentral is "tRNA-Arg". Lineage: Eukaryota; Metazoa; Arthropoda; Insecta; Coleoptera. The record is from RNAcentral.
UAAAUAAGAAGCAAACAAUUGCGUUUAGUUUCGACCUAAUAUUUUGAUUUUUAAUCCUUAUUU